RNAcentral lists this transfer-messenger RNA (394 nucleotides) under Anaerolineales. Its description in RNAcentral is "g SpSt-583 X1 Standard tmRNA". It matches the Rfam family "transfer-messenger RNA". From Rfam's summary of the family: Bacterial tmRNA, also known as 10Sa RNA or SsrA, is named for its dual tRNA and mRNA-like properties. Its role is to liberate the mRNA from a stalled ribosome. RNAcentral also lists the same sequence under 1 other name. Lineage: Bacteria; Bacillati; Chloroflexota; Anaerolineae. The record is from RNAcentral.
GGGGAUGACUGGCUUCGACGGAAGAGGCUGGUUCCAGGCUGCAAGCCGGGCGGCGCCGAAACCCGUAAACUCAGCGCAAACCACAAGUGCCAACCGCACUGCCUAUGCGGCUCUGCCGCUCGCGGCCUAACCCCGCCGAGCGCAUAGCCCAGGCCGCCCGCUGACGGCGGCCCGUUGACCGCGAGCCCCUCCGGCGGCGCGCGUCUCAGCGAGACAAAGGACGGAGUGCCGCCCGGUAUGCUGCUGGCCGGGCGAAAGACCCCAUGCAGCUGGUCGGCCCAGUGACCCGGCCCCGCGGGGCCUGGGCCGGUGACGCCAAAAUAGCGCGGCUAAGCUUGUAGACGCCUGUCGCCGAAUCUUUCGGACCCGGGUUCAAUUCCCGGCAUCUCCACUG